Molecule: ribosomal RNA, 497 nt
Filed under: uncultured bacterium
Lineage: Bacteria
Description: partial 16S ribosomal RNA
Rfam family: Bacterial small subunit ribosomal RNA
Source: RNAcentral
GAUGAACGCUGGCGGCGUGCCUAAUACAUGCAAGUCGAGCGAACGGACGAGAAGCUUGCUUCUCUGAUGUUAGCGGCGGACGGGUGAGUAACACGUGGAUAACCUACCUAUAAGACUGGGAUAACUUCGGGAAACCGGAGCUAAUACCGGAUAAUAUUUUGAACCGCAUGGUUCAAAAGUGAAAGACGGUCUUGCUGUCACUUAUAGAUGCAUCCGCGCUGCAUUAGCUAGUUGGUAAGGUAACGGCUUACCAAGGCAACGAUGCAUAGCCGACCUGAGAGGGUGAUCGGCCACACUGGAACUGAGACACGGUCCAGACUCCUACGGGAGGCAGCAGUAGGGAAUCUUCCGCAAUGGGCGAAAGCCUGACGGAGCAACGCCGCGUGAGUGAUGAAGGUCUUCGGAUCGUAAAACUCUGUUAUUAGGGAAGAACAUAUGUGUAAGUAACUGUGCACAUCUUGACGGUACCUAAUCAGAAAGCCACGGCUAACUACGUG